AGAGUUUGAUCAUGGCUCAGAUUGAACGCUGGCGGCAGGCCUAACACAUGCAAGUCGAGCGGAUGACAGGAGCUUGCUCCUGAAUUCAGCGGCGGACGGGUGAGUAAUGCCUAGGAAUCUGCCUGGUAGUGGGGGACAACGUUUCGAAAGGAACGCUAAUACCGCAUACGUCCUACGGGAGAAAGUGGGGGAUCUUCGGACCUCACGCUAUCAGAUGAGCCUAGGUCGGAUUAGCUAGUUGGUGAGGUAAUGGCUCACCAAGGCGACGAUCCGUAACUGGUCUGAGAGGAUGAUCAGUCACACUGGAACUGAGACACGGUCCAGACUCCUACGGGAGGCAGCAGUGGGGAAUAUUGGACAAUGGGCGAAAGCCUGAUCCAGCCAUGCCGCGUGUGUGAAGAAGGUCUUCGGAUUGUAAAGCACUUUAAGUUGGGAGGAAGGGUUGUAGAUUAAUACUCUGCAAUUUUGACGUUACCGACAGAAUAAGCACCGGCUAACUCUGUGCCAGCAGCCGCGGUAAUAC
Molecule: ribosomal RNA, 523 nt
Filed under: Pseudomonas sp. MSB2082
Lineage: Bacteria; Pseudomonadati; Pseudomonadota; Gammaproteobacteria; Pseudomonadales; Pseudomonadaceae
Description: bacterial SSU rRNA
Rfam family: Bacterial small subunit ribosomal RNA
Source: RNAcentral